GGUCCCGUAGCUCAACUGGAUAGAGCACCUGACUUCUAAUCAGGUGGUUGAGGGUUCGAGUCCUUCCGGGAUCGCCA
RNAcentral lists this transfer RNA (77 nucleotides) under Rhodobacter sp. Its description in RNAcentral is "tRNA-Arg". It matches the Rfam family "tRNA". Rfam says of the family: Transfer RNA (tRNA) molecules are approximately 80 nucleotides in length. Their secondary structure includes four short double-helical elements and three loops (D, anti-codon, and T loops). RNAcentral also lists the same sequence under 3 other names. Lineage: Bacteria; Pseudomonadati; Pseudomonadota; Alphaproteobacteria; Rhodobacterales. The record is from RNAcentral.